Molecule: unclassified non-coding RNA, 114 nt
Organism: Microcebus murinus (gray mouse lemur)
Lineage: Eukaryota; Metazoa; Chordata; Mammalia; Primates; Cheirogaleidae
Rfam family: Y RNA
About the family: Y RNAs are components of the Ro ribonucleoprotein particle (Ro RNP), in association with Ro60 and La proteins.
Source: Ensembl
GGCUGGUCCGAAGGUAGUGAGUUAUCUCACGUGAUUGUUCACAGUCAGUUACAGAUUGAACUCCUUGUUCUACUACUUUCCCCCCUCCUCACUACUGCACUUGACUAGUCUUUU